AGGUAAGCCGUCACCCGACGCCACCCUACGCCUCUUUUGUGGCUUGAGAUCCUCUCUGUUGUUGAUCCAAGCUCAUGGUUCUGGUAGGUGACAGCGACCAAGGAUGGUGGUGCAACGUGGCUAUGCAGUCCGGCAAGCACGUGUAUGUAGGACGGUGUGGCGGAUGAAUGUACAGUUUUGUUCACUUAUUCAUUUUUGGGGUGGAUAAUUUCAGCCCAGAUGGCUACUAGUUUUAUGUCUAUUCUUGAGCUUCAGGUUGUAGUUCAUGAGCUAGCAGCAUGCAGCGCGCUGCUGCGGUCGACAAAAAACGUCAAUUUGUUUCUCGGGAUGUUCAUUUGAAGUUCACUCAUGUUUAUAUUUUCUUCUGGAAAAUCAUUUGCAGUGCGCUCAGUAAGAAAAAGAAGAGAACAUCGAUAUCCAUUCAAGUUUCAUUUUGUUGUUUUGAGAAAUGCAGAGUGAAAAGAGUAGUAAAAAUGGAUGUAGGUUGGUUUAAAAAAGCACUUCGUUUUGGAAAUCAGUAUAUCCACGAAAGUCACAUUGGUUUAAAAUGGAUGUAGAUUGGUUUAAAAAAGCACUUCGUUUUGGAAAUCA
RNAcentral lists this long non-coding RNA (591 nucleotides) under Triticum aestivum (bread wheat). RNAcentral describes it as "long non-coding RNA (TAES_LNC012054)". The record is from RNAcentral. Lineage: Eukaryota; Viridiplantae; Streptophyta; Magnoliopsida; Poales; Poaceae.